UACGGAGGGUGCGAGCGUUGUCCGGAAUCACUGGGCGUAAAGGGCGCGUAGGCGGCCUGAUAAGUAGGGGGUGAAAUCCUGCGGCUUAACCGCAGGGCUGCCUUCUAAACUGUCAGGCUAGAGCACAGUAGAGGCAGGUGGAAUUCCCGGUGUAGCGGUGGAAUGCGUAGAGAUCGGGAAGAACAUCAGUGGCGAAGGCGGCCUGCAGGGCUGUUGCUGACGCUGAGGCGCGACAGCGUGGGGAGCAAACAGG
RNAcentral lists this ribosomal RNA (253 nucleotides) under uncultured bacterium. RNAcentral's name for it is "partial 16S ribosomal RNA". It matches the Rfam family "Bacterial small subunit ribosomal RNA", at positions 524 to 776 of the family's 1533-position model. The record is from RNAcentral.